RNAcentral lists this ribosomal RNA (368 nucleotides) under uncultured organism. Its description in RNAcentral is "bacterial SSU rRNA". It matches the Rfam family "Bacterial small subunit ribosomal RNA", at positions 526 to 896 of the family's 1533-position model. The record is from RNAcentral.
CGGAGGGUGCAAGCGUUAUCCGGAUUCACUGGGUUUAAAGGGUGUGUAGGCGGAUAUUUAAGUCAGUGGUGAAAUCUCCGGGCUCAACCCGGAAACUGCCAUUGAUACUAUUUAUCUUGAAUAUCGUUGAGGUUGGCGGAAUAUAUCAUGUAGCGGUGAAAUGCAUAGAUAUGAUAUAGAACACCGAUUGCGAAGGCAGCUAACUAAACGAUUAUUGACGCUGAGGCACGAAAGCGUGGGGAUCAAACAGGAUUAGAUACCCUGGUAGUCCACGCCCUAAACUAUGAUUACUCGACAUACGCGAUACACAGUGUGUGUCUGAGCGAAAGCAUUAAGUAAUCCACCUGGGAAGUACGUCCGCAAGGAUG